CUGACCUCCCAGGUCUGAUAGAAGGAGCACAUAUGAACAAAGGAAUGGGCCACAAGUUCCUCAAGCAUUUAGAGCGAACCAGACAACUGCUCUUUGUUGAGUUGGAGUCAUACAAAGAGGAACUGCAGACAAAACCUGCACUCUUGGCAGUUAAUAAGAUGGACUUGCCCGAUGCCCAGGUUAAGCUUGACGAACUGAUGAAGCAGCUCCAGAACCCCGCAGGAGAAUGUCCUGGGACUCCAGUGCAGUGAGUGCCGAGCCGGCACCUUUGCUUUGCAAACUGUCAGCCCCCUAGGCUGCAGCCCAUGCUUCUGCUUUGGUCUGUCCCA
Long non-coding RNA from Microtus oregoni (creeping vole), 329 nucleotides. RefSeq lists it as uncharacterized. The record is from RefSeq and is a predicted model, not a curated record. The transcript is spliced from 3 exons. NCBI's taxonomy places the organism in Eukaryota, Metazoa, Chordata, Mammalia, Rodentia, Cricetidae.